AGCGUAGACGGUGUGGCAAGUCUGAUGUGAAAGGCAUGGGCUCAACCCGUGGACUGCAUUGGAAACUGUCAUGCUUGAGUGCCGGAGGGGUAAGCGGAAUUCCUAGUGUAGCGGUGAAAUGCGUAGAUAUUAGGAGGAACACCAGUGGCGAAGGCGGCUUACUGGAUGGUAACUGACGUUGAGGCUGAAAGCGUGGGGAGCAAACA
RNAcentral lists this ribosomal RNA (206 nucleotides) under uncultured bacterium. RNAcentral describes it as "partial 16S ribosomal RNA". It matches the Rfam family "Bacterial small subunit ribosomal RNA", at positions 568 to 774 of the family's 1533-position model. The record is from RNAcentral.